UACGUAGGGUGCGAGCGUUAAUCGGAAUUACUGGGCGUAAAGCGUGCGCAGGCGGUUUUGUAAGUCAGAUGUGAAAUCCCCGGGCUUAACCUGGGAACUGCGUUUGAAACUACAAGGCUAGAGUGUGGCAGAGGGGGGUGGAAUUCCACGUGUAGCAGUGAAAUGCGUAGAGAUGUGGAGGAACACCGAUGGCGAAGGCAGCCCCCUGGGCUAACACUGACGCUCAUGCACGAAAGCGUGGGGAGCAAACAGG
Molecule: ribosomal RNA, 253 nt
Filed under: uncultured bacterium
Lineage: Bacteria
Description: partial 16S ribosomal RNA
Rfam family: Bacterial small subunit ribosomal RNA
Source: RNAcentral